GGAAGUAAGAGUCGUAACAAGGUUUCCGUAGGUGAACCUGCGGAAGGAUCAUUAUUGUAUAACCGAGGUGCGAGGGCUGACGCUGACCCGAAAGGUCGUGCACGCCCGAGUGCCCUCACACACAUCCAUCUCACCCCUAUGUGCACCACCGCGUGGGUCCCCCUUUGGCUUGUUCGGAGGGGGGCUUACGUUUUCACACAAACUUUGUAUGCAGUGUAGAAUGUAUUUUUUGUUUUUGCGAUCACGCAAUCAAUACAACUUUCAACAACGGAUCUCUUGGCUCUC
This 285-nucleotide unclassified non-coding RNA is filed under the name plant metagenome. RNAcentral's name for it is "partial contains small subunit ribosomal RNA, internal transcribed spacer 1, and 5.8S ribosomal RNA". The stretch from base 1 to 54 matches the Rfam family "Eukaryotic small subunit ribosomal RNA", at positions 1778 to 1831 of the family's 1831-position model. The record is from RNAcentral.